This 703-nucleotide long non-coding RNA is filed under the name Brassica rapa (field mustard). Its description in RNAcentral is "long non-coding RNA (BRAP_LNC007767)". The record is from RNAcentral. Lineage: Eukaryota; Viridiplantae; Streptophyta; Magnoliopsida; Brassicales; Brassicaceae.
UGAUAAUAUGUAGAUAUUUAUUUUUGAUUUAUUAAACUAAAAUAUUUCCUAUAUUUAUUAAAUAUCACUUUAAAAUCAAACUAUUGAUAUUUAUUUAUAUAUUUGAAUUUCAUAAAUUUAUAUACUCUACCAUAAUUUUGAAAAAAGUAAUUAAUUUUUAUUUAGUUAGUUUACAAAAAUAGUUAUUAAUUGCGUAUUGUCAUAUAAUAUAUAUGAAUGUAGGUUCAUUUAUUUAUAUCCGGUCAAGACGAGCAAUACAAUUAUUUUAUUAUUUUAUUAUUUUUAAACAUUUUCUAAGAUAAAUUUAUUUUACUGUGGUAAAGUAUGUAAUAUUUCUUAUUUUAUAGUAAUUAGAACUUUUUAUUAUUAUUUCUAGAAUAAAUAUUUUACUAUUAAAAUAUUUUCAUUUUAUUAUUUAGAAGUAAAAAAAAUAAAAAAAUAAAAUCUAAAAUCACCAAUCAUGUUUUUUCAAAAAAACUAAAAUUUAAUGCAAAAUCAAAAACCAAAAUCUAAAUCUAAAAUCGAAAAACCAAAAACUAAAAUCCAAAAUCUAGAAACCAUACAAACAAUCAUCACCUUAUUAUCAUAACGCCCAUGGUCAAGCUACAUAAAUAAAUAUAUUUUUUGUGAAAUGAGCUACAUAAAUAAUUUGAUUACAUUAAUUUAUCUUAAUGGAUAUACAAUAAUUCAUUUUUCUUUUCAU